UCCCUCCUAGUUCCCUCUGCUCACCUUUCAGGGUCCCUGGUGGCCCUACUAUCUCUCUGCUAGUCCCCCAAACUCUUUCCAAACUGCUCUUCUGGGUUACUCUGACCUGGCAGUUUUGUCCUGGAUGACCUCCGCCGCCAUUCUGUGGACUUACGAUAUGCGGUCCUUCAGACUGAGGGCUCCAUUCCCACCUCUACAGUCAUCGUCAACGAGGCCAGCGGCAGCCGCACCAUCCUGCACGCCUACAGGUUUGUACGCCUGUCUGCGCUUUGCCAGCUGCUGCCGCGGCCGUCACUACAUUCUCAGGACAGGACCAGGACCCGUCUUCUCUGAGGCCCACGUGCUCCAGUGCACCCUUCCCACUCCUGGAGGAGAUCUAUCUAGGCUGUGUAGCUCUAACCUGUGUCUCCUUGCCCUCUUCCUGGCUUGGGUCCCUUCCCCAAAGCUUCCUGGUGGCCGACUUCAGGCGGAGGGGUGUGGAUGUGUCUCAAGUGGCCUGGCAGAGCCAGGGAGAUACCCCUUGCUCCUGCUGCAUCGUCAACAACUCCAAUGGCUCCCGUACCAUUAUUCUCUACGAC
Molecule: long non-coding RNA, 578 nt
Filed under: Rattus norvegicus (Norway rat)
Lineage: Eukaryota; Metazoa; Chordata; Mammalia; Rodentia; Muridae
Description: long non-coding RNA NONRATT024863
Source: RNAcentral